Molecule: transfer RNA, 73 nt
Filed under: Dermacentor andersoni
Lineage: Eukaryota; Metazoa; Arthropoda; Arachnida; Ixodida; Ixodidae
Description: transfer RNA isoleucine (anticodon UAU)
Rfam family: tRNA
About the family: Transfer RNA (tRNA) molecules are approximately 80 nucleotides in length. Their secondary structure includes four short double-helical elements and three loops (D, anti-codon, and T loops).
Source: RNAcentral
GCCCGAGUAGCUCAGUCGGUAGAGCGUUAGGCUUAUAACCUAACGGUCCAGGGUCCGAACCCCUGCUCGGGCG